UAUAACAUAAUAUUUUGUAUAUUUCAGAACAAAAGAUAACAAAACCACACCGACAUCCAUACGAACUACACAAAGGGCACGCGAAACACCGAGGCAGCAACAGGAAGGCAGCGCAUGGAAACGUAAACCAAAACAAAAAUGGAAAACAUCGAAGUAAUAUAAAUCAUCUUAAUUGUAUUGAAAACACAGUUAGCAAUUAUGACAACCUGGAUAGUUACCUGAGGAUAGCUUAAACAUAUAGCAACUUCAAUUUUUAAGAGUAAUUAUAAAUUUCUUUUAUGUUGAUGGGCAAUAUGGUGUAGAAUAAACAACCUUCUAUUACUAAUGGUUUACACUUAUGAAGUUCUAAAUUAUGUACAUACCUAUGAUAGUUGUUACUAUUUCUUGUGCUACAUAUAUGUUCUGCACCCACCUCUAAUCAUCAUAACGUUCCCAUUACUAUUUUACACACCCUGCAGGAAUGUGUACUUUAUUACAAAGAACAAAAAACAUUCCAUCAUUUUGGCGUAUUGCCGAACAUUCUAUGAGAUGAUCGCGAUAAUAUACUGUCACAAUUUUAGUGACCAUAGAUGGGGUUUGGAUUGGUAAUUAAAGAUCUGUGACUGUAACCGUUUCACUAGUUCACAUACUUUACAGUUCACUAGAGCACACACAUAAGUCUUCUCAGCCUGCUGUGUCUUCACUAGCCGUUGCUCAGUAGCGACUUCGAAUGGUGGAUGCUCCCCUUCCUCUGGGUUCCCGAACUGUCCCUGGCCUCAGCAACAGCUCACAUAACUGAAUCCCAGCAGUUAUCUAACUAACUCACUGACAAACUGACUACACUCCAGUGAUAUCUCUUAUGUCUUAUAUGUCUUAUGAGACUAUUAUCCACAUUAGUCCAGGGAGGAGAGUUAUUCUUGGUAACAUAAAUCGCUUGACUUCAAACUUUCCCACAAAAGAGAAUACAGUGUUUCACCUAUCACCCUUCAGUUUAUCACUGUAACCAUAUAUUGGAAGAGCAGACUCCAUGAACUUAAUCGUUCUCAUCUUCAUUUCGCUCCAGUGAACUGAAACUUAAAUCUAUGUGCAUUUCAGCCUGUAGGAAUUCAAGAUGACAAAGCUUCAUUUAGCUCUGUGGGUCAUGUGACCAAUACUCACUAAUACCAAAACGUGAGUUCAGGAUAUCACAAAUGGGGCGAUCUACAAAACAUCUAUGAAUGUAAAGAAACAUAUAUAUAUCGAUUCUAAUGUAUCGCCAUUCUUUUACUGUGAAAAGGGGUUCCCCUACAUGUUUCAAACUUCAAGGGGUCAUGAUAAAUAAUGCUGCAGAAUCAUUUAGAAGUUGCCAGUCAGUUUCAUUAACUAUGCACUACUAGCUUCAACAGUUGAAGAAAACAACAUAACUAGAGAGAACAUCAUGUCAUAUCUGUUUACUCCUAACAAGAGAGAGGCUUGUAUGGAUCAGCAAUCAGUAGUAAACCAAUCCGGAUAUGCACUGACCUGUUGUACCAUGGGAUGCAAUUGAUUUCCCUAGUCAGUUGGAAAUGUUAGCACCUGCAAUAACUCGUAG
Cryptotermes secundus is the source of this 1549-nucleotide long non-coding RNA. RefSeq lists it as uncharacterized. The transcript has 2 exons. The record is from RefSeq and is a predicted model, not a curated record. Lineage: Eukaryota; Metazoa; Arthropoda; Insecta; Blattodea; Kalotermitidae.